UACCCAGACUCCUACGGGAGGCAGCAGUGGGGAAUAUUGGACAAUGGGGGGAACCCUGAUCCAGCGACGCCGCGUGAGUGAAGAAGUAUUUCGGUAUGUAAAGCUCUAUCAGCAGGGAAGAAAGAAAUGACGGUACCUGACUAAGAAGCCCCGGCUAACUACGUGCCAGCAGCCGCGGUAAUACGUAGGGGGCAAGCGUUAUCCGGAUUUACUGGGUGUAAAGGGAGCGUAGACGGCAAUGCAAGUCUGGAGUGAAAGGCGGGGGCCCAACCCCCGGACUGCUCUGGAAACUGUAUAGCUGGAGUGCAGGAGAGGUAAGUGGAAUUCCUAGUGUAGCGGUGAAAUGCGUAGAUAUUAGGAGGAACACCAGUGGCGAAGGCGACUAUCUGGCACAUAACUGACGCUGAGGAGCGAAAGCGUGGGUAGCAAACAGGAUUAGAUACCCUUGUA
RNAcentral lists this ribosomal RNA (450 nucleotides) under uncultured bacterium. RNAcentral describes it as "partial 16S ribosomal RNA". It matches the Rfam family "Bacterial small subunit ribosomal RNA", at positions 328 to 792 of the family's 1533-position model. The record is from RNAcentral.